CUUGGCUAAGGUGGGCAGGUGCCGAAAAAGCCCCCCUGCCAGAUGCUGCAGGCUGUUGCUGGCCAACAGCAGGGUGUGCAGGGAAUGCAGUGGUCCAAAGAGUUCCGGGUGGCGAAGGGAGCUCUGCUGGUUCCCAGAGAGGUCAAGGAAGCGCAGCCUGGCCAGGCCGGUGAACGCCCCGCGGCUCAGCCAGCGGAUGCGGUUGGACUCCAGGUGCAGGUAGAGUAAAUUGGGCAGCCCCGAGAAGGUGGAGUCGCCCAGCGAGCCCAGCUCGUUGCCAUCCAGGCGCAGCUUGACCAGGCUGCUGAGGCCAGAGAAGGAGGCGGCGCUGAGGCGGCCGAUCUCGUUGGCAUUUACGUAGAGGAUGCGCAGCUUGACCAGCGCGCUGAGCGUGCCGGGGACCAGCGCAGGCAGCAGGUUGUUGCCCAGGUAGAGCUCCUCCAGCCGGCCCAGGUGCUCAAAGGCCUUGGGAUGCAGCGAGCGGAUCCGGUUGUACUGCAGGUCCAGGCGCUGGAGCCCGGCCAGGCGGUGGAAGUCGAAGGCGGAGAUGUUGGCGAUGAAGUUGCCUCCCAGGCUGUAGGUGAGGACAUCCUGGGGCUCGGCGGCCUUGGGCACGGAGCGCAGGCCCCGGUUGGUGCAGAGGAGGUGCUGGUGCUGCUGGCAGUCGCACGGCUCGGGGCAGAUGGGCUCCGCCGCGGGCAGCAGCAGGAGGAAGAGCGCGACGGAGCCCCACGGCACCAUCAGGCGGAGCCGGCGCCGCGCUCCCAUCCCGGGACGAGCCGAGGGCUGUUUCCCCCGGCGGCUUUGUGUCUCUCCGGCAUCCCACCGCUCCUCGGCGGCUGCUAAUCGUCCCCUCCUCUGCUCCGCGCCGGACCGAGCUCCGCGCCGGGCAGGCGGGCGCCGCGACCGGUGCAGGUCGCGGUGCCCGACACCAUGGGCUCCCGUCACCAGAGCCGGCCGGGGCGGAGAGCGGCGGAAGGGCUGCGGGUGCCGGGCUCUGCCCGGGGCCGGUGCCGCAGAGCAGAGCCGAGCGGCUGCCCGCUGCUCCGCCGGCUCUCCCGGGAGCGGAGGGGGCGGGCGGAGCGCGGGGAUGGGGCGGGCGGGGCGGGGGGAGCCGGAGAAAGACGAGCUCCGAAAGUGACCGAGAAAAACUCAGCGGAAAUUCGUACUUCCCACACUGUGCCCUGGGGGAGCGGAGGAUCGGAUGGAGCGCGGAAGAUGGAGCGCGGCAGGGAGGGAAGGGAAGGGGGCGGGAGCCCGCGGCCCGUCCUGGCUCGGCCCGGCCCCGGCAGAGAGCGGGGGCCAAAGUGGGAAAGUGGGAAUUGGAACCGGCUGCGGCCGCCUCCCGCCACAUGGGCUGCAGACAGAGCUGCGCAUCGGGAGGGGGAAGGGAGGAGGAGUACACGAGCCACCCCCACCUCCGUCUCCCUUUUUUAGGUCGCCUUUAGGAACCUGCCAAAAGCAAUAGUAACGGUUUGCCCCAGAUUAAGGGCUACGUUUUGUUUUCAGCAGAUGGCAGUCAGAGGACUAAGCCACCCAUAGUACCUCAAGGAAUGACUUUUCCUUCAUCCUCCGCACCAGCCUGCUCGGGCGGUUCCCGGCACAGCGGUCAGUGAAGAUGUAGCUGAGCAUCAUUAGCUCCAUGAGGCUCUUUGGAUGCUCUGUUGAAAAAAUUCCAUUUUUAAAAAAUCCAAGUGAAAGGAAGGUGUCGGAAAGCAUGCUGAAAAGCAAGUAGGCUGUGUACCCGUCCAUUCACUGCCUUGCUUUUCUUUCCUGUUGGCACUGGUUUUGUUUCCUAAGAUGCUGCCAGCAGGGUAAAUGAGUGUCUAAGGGCAGGAGGAAAUGAGUAUAUAUGCAAGCUGUUUAAAGCUGUCAAGUGCAAGAAGAGAAGGAAGAUAACACCCAAAAUACCAUGUUGGAAAUCCAAUAAAUACUUUGGAAACUGCGAAUUUAUGCCCAGCCGCAUACGUUUGAAUACAUUUCUGGAUCAUGCCUGUUCUUGCACCAGAAAGAAAACUUCAUAUAGUGGCAGCUGUGUUCUUAGUGACUGUGUCAAUGUGAGCAGAAAGCGUGGUACAGGACUUUGUGCUGAGGCCCUCUUGCCCACUGUUAUGGAGAGGCACUACGUUGAGCUAGAUCUGACUUGGACCUUCUGUCUUGUGGUUGGAGAACAAAAUGCAUGCUCCAAGUCUGCUCUGAGGAUGAAGCAAAGUAUUCUACAUGGAGACAGUCGGCAGAUUUGCUUCAAAAGCACAGUAUCAGGAAGAAGAGAUCUUGAAGAAAACUCAUGGAUCAGUCAAUGGACUAUUUCUAUGAGCAUCUUGAUUCUUAGCUCUUGUUAUAUGACUCUUUAUAUGAGGCUUUAUAAAGGGGAAUCAUUUUGUAGUGGUAACUGUGCUGUGCUGCUGUGGGAAGUAUGUUUAGGACAGGAGAGUGACAUUUUAGAUAACCUGGACAAAUUUUGCAAAUAUCUUCUAAAAAUCAAGUGAGCAGCUAUGAAUUAUUACUUGCUCUUUGGGAAAACCCAGUGUGAAUAACAGUGUACUGGAAUAUGGUCAUGUCAAGGUGGGUUGUCUAAAGGGAGUUUGAAUUUAAAGCUAGAGAAGUGUUGUGGGUUUUUGUUUGUUUGUUUGGUUGUUGUUGUUGUUGUUGUUUUGAGAAAAUACAAUUACAGUAGGCAGUCUUGAUAGUCUAGAAGAGUAAGUGAAAAAUAACCUAACUAUACGCCAAAGUGUACUCAGAGGGAAAGAUGUCAUGGCAUAUUGCCAUCAAAAACGAAAGAUUUCUAAUUAAAAAUGGUGGUGAUCAGAGUUGUCAGAUUCCAAAUCCUUUUGACUUCUGAAGAUUUUUCUGCUAUCUUGUCAUCAAACGAGCAUGUUCUUAGAUUAACUUUUAUUUAGAAUUGUGCAGUAAAUUGUAGCUGCAUUGUUUUCUGGGGAUAAGCAGAAGUUUAUUUGUUGAGUUUCUGGCUCGACUGUACAUACUUUAUUUUGAGCAGUACAAUUAGUAAGGCAUUCUUUUUCCUACAGUGAGUCUAAGCAAGUUUCACACGAUGAAUUUUUUGCUGUCCUUUCUUCUUUUUUUUCUGUGUUACAAAAGGAUCUCUUCCAGCAUUUGUUUGUGAUUCUAAUGCCCAUGGAUAAGAAUCCAGAGAUUUUAGCUCAUCCUCUUACUUACUGAAUAUGUAUUCUCUUGCCAGGUUUUUUCUUUUCAGUGUCUAUCGCAUCACGUCUAAUAUUAAGGACAAAGUAGAGUGUUCUCCUUGCUACAAAAACUGUGUUUCUUUUCUCACUCUCAAAACUACUAUAGUACUGGAGAGGACACUCUGUCUAAUUUUUGUUUAAUUGCAAGUAACGAAUUUUUCCUCCAACAAAUUUGGUUAACUGUGGUGUGCUUUAAAAAGUGAAAUUUGAGGAAACCAUUCUGUAUAAUGGUAUGCUUAUUUUCAAUUCCUUUGGGUUUCUUUUUUUUUUUUUUUUUUUUUUUUUUUUGAAACAUACUUGAAAGUUUAAGGGCAAUUUAUGAACUGUCCUUCCUGUAGAAGCACUGUAGAUCUUUUUCUGUCCGCAUGUCAUUGCAAGUACUUCAGAUUUAAGUCAAAUUAUGUCUUGUGCAGUGGCAUUGCUUUCGGUUUAUGUAUUCUGACACUUAGCCAACAUUGUUGUUUUCACUGGGUUUUGGGGAAUUGUGCGUGUUGGAAUUUUUGUUGAAAAAUCACUAGUGAUGCUUAGGAAGAAAACUCAUCACGCACUUCUUCUUUCUCUGAAAAUAUCUUAAACCAGAAGCGGAAUGCACAAAUGCACUGCUUUUAUUCUCAUUUCUUUUAUUCAGGUAGGAAAUUAUUAUUCACCAUACAUUAGGAACACAGCUGCUCAGAAAAAAAAAAAAAUGCCACAUUUGUUUUCCUACUUUGGAACGGAACUUUCUAACUGCAGUAGUUCUUGUUUCCUUAUACAAACACACAGUAACAUUUUAAACGUGUGAUUGAGAAAUAGUAAUCAUUUACCACAAAGUGAAAAAAUAAUCUGACUAUGAAAAACGGUUGGAAGAGAACUACGAAAGUAGUAUCUUUUUAAGUUUAUCUUAAAGUACACCUUUGUUAUUAAGAUUUAAAGCAUGAGGACUUUUAAAAGGCAGGAAUGAAUAGCAAAACCAGAAAUGCUAUCUUUCCUCUGAUAUAUAUCUAUACCCCUGAUAAUUGUGAGAAAACUGACCUUAAAUCAGGAUUUCAUUCACAACUAAAUAGUAUCCAUAUGGUUGUUAUACGGAAGACUUUGGACUUUUUUUUGUUGUUUUUUUGAUUUUUGAGAGAUGUUAUCUAGGCACUGAUUAGAGGGCUGGUGGUUAAACAUGUUGUACACAUAGUUGUGGGCAGAAUGCAAAAUGGAGUGAAAGAAGCAGCAUGCUUAGUGUGGCCUAUCCCAGCAUAUAGUCGGAAUGUGGCAAUACCCAUUAAAGAAGGAAGAAUUACUCUUUCUUGAUUCUGGAAUAGAAGAAUACUUGGUGCCAAACUGUACACGCAUUUGUGAACAGAACAGCAGUUUUCAAGGAUGAAGCACAGGAAGAGUAAAAUUUAAUCAGAGAUCUCUGACGAACACCUUGGGAGCUCACAAAGAAUGGCAACCACUGCUAUCAAACCGGCCCAAUGCGUUGGUUCCACAGAAGCAAGAUCACAUAUCCCACUAGUUUUAUGGUUUUGUUGCUUUUUUUCUUUGUAUAUUUUAAUUAAGGAAAUAAAAUGUUUUGUUACUUAUAUACAUAGAUUAUAUAUUUUAUGAUGGCUGCUCUGAAAGUAAUGCCUCCUAUUUUAUGAUGUUGUCCAGUGACAUCAGAGGUGGAUUUUGGUGUAUGGCGUCACAGAUUGAACCUUCCCACCAAUAUUCCAUUAUAUGUUGUUGCCAUGUGACAAAUGGCAGCAGAGGGGCAGUCUGGCAAAAUAGCAUGUGGUAUGGAAACACAGAUGAAGCAAAGGUGUGGAAUGGAAUUCCUUCAUUUGAAAAAAAAUUGCACCCGCUGACAUUCACUGGUGCUUGCUGAAUGUUUCUGGAGACCAAACAGUGGAUGUGAGCACAGUAGAGCAGUGGUGGUGCGUUUCAGCAGUGGUGACAGUGAUAGCAGGUCACCUCUGCUGGUACAGAUUGUUUUGAAUGUGGUAUGCAGGCUCUUGUUCAUCCCCAGGGAAAAUGCACAGCUAAUGGUGGAGACUAUAUUGAAAAAAACAGUGUUCUGUAGCUAAGAAUUUGAUCUAUUAAAUAGUGUUAUUGUGUUCUUUGUUUCUAUUGUAGUUUCCAUGGAAAUAAUUAGAAGGUAUUCAGAGCAACCUUUGUGGAUAUGGCCCUAGAAAAUUCAUUUUCACUCAAUGCAGCCCAGGCAAGCCAAAACGUUGGACACCUAUGGAUUAAAGCAUUUUUUAAGUGGUCACCAUUUUGGUGCUAUUCUGUAUGUCAGUGCCAGUAAUGCAAAUACCAUAGUGUAGGAAAACAUGAGAAUUCUAGUGAUAAAUGUGGUAAUAUUUUUUUCCCUUAAAACUGCACAAACAGUUCAUCUGUGCUGUGUAAUUUAUACUGGUUGCACUUACAGUUGUAUUUCACAUUUUAAAUAAAACUUCCUGAUAUGGUGGUUUGUGUUCGUUCAUAACGAAAUGUCAUUUGUGACAUCCAGUUCUUCAGAAAUAAAGCAUGACUCCCAGAGCAAUAGUUAAUACUAUAUACUUGUUCUGCUCCAUGGAAGGAAAGCCACCAGAUGUUUAAUAGAUAUCUGCUCUCAUUAUCCAUAGAGGCCUGUGGGCUAUAAGGCUCUGCUGAUUGCAAAUACCAUUAAAUCUUUUCCGAACUAAACAUCUGAGUAAAGUAUUUGUGUUUUAUGACAAGAUGGUAGACUAGAUGUGCUUUUAGCAUCAAGGGCAUGUUUAGUCAAACAACCAUAACCCAGUGAGAAUUUCACACAGUGUAG
RNAcentral lists this long non-coding RNA (5952 nucleotides) under Gallus gallus (chicken). Lineage: Eukaryota; Metazoa; Chordata; Aves; Galliformes; Phasianidae. The record is from RNAcentral.